AAAAUUACACAAUUUUUACCUAAGUUGACUUUUGGUCAACCAGUUAACCAAAAUCAACCAUCUAAUCCAAGUCAUAAAUAAUACAUGAACCAUUUUCAUAUUCUCAAGCCACUUUAAACCAUGUUCAUUUUAUACGAUACGUAAACCAUUUUGCAUUGUUUAAGCCAUUUUCCACUUUUAAAAACCUUGAUUCAUUACAACCAUUAUGCUUUCCAUUUCAUGUACAAAUAAAC
RNAcentral lists this long non-coding RNA (233 nucleotides) under Lathyrus oleraceus (garden pea). RNAcentral describes it as "Pisum sativum (pea) long non-coding RNA (PSAT_LNC008629)". Lineage: Eukaryota; Viridiplantae; Streptophyta; Magnoliopsida; Fabales; Fabaceae. The record is from RNAcentral.